RNAcentral lists this long non-coding RNA (1899 nucleotides) under Capsella grandiflora. Its description in RNAcentral is "long non-coding RNA (CGRA_LNC001538)". Lineage: Eukaryota; Viridiplantae; Streptophyta; Magnoliopsida; Brassicales; Brassicaceae. The record is from RNAcentral.
UUUUGUAGUUAAAUGAUAGUAUAUAGUAUGUUUAAUGAAUUAGGAAAGGGUUAAUUAGUGACGUAAUACACUCACUUUGGAAAGUAGAAUUUUACAUAUAAAUAAAAAAACUUUGUCGAAGUGAGAAUUUAAAUAGUGUAGGGUGCAGGUAAUGGCAAGCCCUUGACGAUGCCGCAAAGGUUGGUGUUGAGAGGGAUGUUGUACUCGUCUCUUAGUGAUUUUUCAGGUGAGAGAACACUGACGUACAUUUGCUCGCCCAAGUACCUUCUCUCCCAGUUCUCUGAUCUGAUGUUCCACAUACCGGCGUUGUCGAAUGUCAAGAGGAUGGUUGACCAGGAUUUGGGGUACACUUGCACGGUGUGUCUGCUAACAGCAUCCAACAAGUUGUAGUUAUUUCUCUUCUCUGGUGUCCAUCUUCCUGGCUCAGAGCUGCAAACAAAACAUAAUGUUAGAAGUGUUAUAGGAAUGGAAUGAGAAGCUAGGGGUUGUGAAUGGGGCGGGGCUUACGCGACAGCGAAGAAAGAGUGACCGUCCAAAUGGAAGGAUUGCAUGCUUUUCUCGUGGUUCUCGAAAACGAUUUCGACAAAGGUACGGAAAGUGAUGUUGAGGACAUUGGGCUCGACGGUUAGUGUUGUGAUCUUGGCUGCGGGUUCGUCCUUGAUGACGUUGUAUUUGAAAACCUUGUCGGCAAAUCCGAAGUACUCGGCAAGCUUCAAAGGAGUCUCGGUGUCAACGUGUGAUACACCGUUGAACCCAAACCUGACCUUUCCGUUCACCACAUUCUUGGUGUUGGCGAGCUUGAUGGUACGGGUGAUGUUGAUCUUUCCGUAAUGGUAGGAUCCUUGUGGGUUAGGUCUGGCAGCACUGGCGGUUAAGUUCCAUCUGAAGGAUCUGAACUGGUUGAGAGACCAAGCCCAGCCGACGGGAGCCUUGGGGAGCUCGGUUGAGGGCUCAACGUUGCUUCCUUCGUAGCUCAACACACCAACAGUGCUCACCUCCUUCUUGAGGAACCUAGUGGAUGCAACCAUGUAGUAGUUCUUGGCCACUUGGUCAGCGGUCACUAGCACGGCAAAGCACUGUCCGACGUGGACGUCAAGAGAGUCGUAGUCGUUCUGGAGAACGUGAGAGCCUUCCAUCUCAACAAGCUUCAUCUUGUGUCCUUGGAUCCUGAAGUUAAGAGUGGAUUUGAAUCCAACAUUGCAGAUCCUGUACUUGUAAGUCUUUCCUGGCUUCAUGGUGAAAAGUGGCUCGUUCUUCUGGCCAACUUUACCGGAUUUCCCGUUGAUGAGAACACCGUCUGGGGAUCCGAGAGUACGACCACUGUCCAAGAAGUUCUUGAGAGCGGUGUGGCUCUUGGUAAACCAGUCAUUGAUGAGGAUGGUGUUGUCUUCUUCGGGAUCAGCGUAAGGGACCGGGAUGAGGAGACGGCUGUUGACACGAAGGCCACCGAAACCACCGGCGAAACGGUGGAGAGAUGUGGAUGGGUAGUAGAAGUAACUACCGAUCUGGUCCUUAGGCUGGAAAUGGUAAGUGUAGUUGGUACCUGCUGGGAUUGGGCAUGAGGUCCCACUCACACCAUCUUGCCACGAGUUCUUCCUGUGCUGAAGUCCACUCCUGUCACGUCACCCAAAAACCAUUGUCAGCACGACCAAGUAUCGGAAGAUAUAAUUAUACGUAAUGUAAAACUGUAACCAAGUCUAAUGCAAAAAAACAAAUCCACAAAUAUGUUUUGAAGGGAAAAAAAACAGUUUGGUUACGAACCAGGUCAAGAGGAAAGGCUCGUCAAGGUUGUUGAAGACGUUGAUGACAACAUUGUUGUUGGAGGUGGAGUUUAGGUUAGGACCAGGGAACUGUCCGUUAAUGAGAAUCACCUGUUGAGGAAUUCCGAGAGGCGCGGCG